GUACACUCCUGCGGGAGGCAGCAGUGGGGAAUUUUGGACAAUGGGCGAAAGCCUGAUCCAGCAAUGCCGCGUGAGUGAAGAAGGCCUUCGGGUUGUAAAGCUCUUUUGUCAGGGAAGAAACGGUGAGAGCUAAUAUCUCUUGCUAAUGACGGUACCUGAAGAAUAAGCACCGGCUAACUACGUGCCAGCAGCCGCGGUAAUACGUAGGGUGCAAGCGUUAAUCGGAAUUACUGGGCGUAAAGCGUGCGCAGGCGGUUUUGUAAGUCUGAUGUGAAAUCCCCGGGCUCAACCUGGGAAUUGCAUUGGAGACUGCAAGGCUAGAAUCUGGCAGAGGGGGGUAGAAUUCCACGUGUAGCAGUGAAAUGCGUAGAUAUGUGGAGGAACACCGAUGGCGAAGGCAGCCCCCUGGGUCAAGAUUGACGCUCAUGCACGAAAGCGUGGGGAGCAAACAGGAUUAGAUACCCGAGUAGUCCCAUGAU
Molecule: ribosomal RNA, 479 nt
Filed under: uncultured organism
Description: partial 16S ribosomal RNA
Rfam family: Bacterial small subunit ribosomal RNA
Source: RNAcentral